UACGUAGGUGGCAAGCGUUGUCCGGAUUUAUUGGGUUUAAAGGGUGCGUAGGCGGCCUUGUAAGUCAGUGCUGAAAUAUCCCGGCUUAACCGGGAGGGUGGCAUUGAUACUGCAGGGCUUGAGUAAAGUUGAGGUUGGUGGAAUUCCCGGUGUAGUGGUGAAAUGCGUAGAUAUCGGGAGGAACACCAGUGGCGAAGGCGACUACCUGGCCUGUUCUUGACGCUGAGGCGCGAAAGCUAGGGGAGCAAACGGG
This 253-nucleotide ribosomal RNA is filed under the name uncultured bacterium. RNAcentral describes it as "partial 16S ribosomal RNA". It matches the Rfam family "Bacterial small subunit ribosomal RNA", at positions 524 to 776 of the family's 1533-position model. The record is from RNAcentral.